Molecule: ribosomal RNA, 460 nt
Filed under: uncultured bacterium
Lineage: Bacteria
Description: partial 16S ribosomal RNA
Rfam family: Bacterial small subunit ribosomal RNA
Source: RNAcentral
CCUACGGGUGGCAGCAGUGAGGAAUAUUGGUCAAUGGACGAGAGUCUGAACCAGCCAAGUCGCGUGAAGGAUGACUGCCCUAUGGGUUGUAAACUUCUUUUAUAUGGGAAUAAAAUGUUCCACGUGUGGGAUUUUGUAUGUACCAUAUGAAUAAGGAUCGGCUAACUCCGUGCCAGCAGCCGCGGUAAUACGGAGGAUCCGAGCGUUAUCCGGAUUUAUUGGGUUUAAAGGGAGCGUAGGUGGAUUGUUAAGUCAGUUGUGAAAGUUUGCGGCUCAACCGUAAAAUUGCAGUUGAAACUGGCAGUCUUGAGUACAGGAGAGGUGUGCGGAAUUCGUGGUGUAGCGGUGAAAUGCUUAGAUAUCACGAAGAACUCCGAUUGCGAAGGCAGUUCACUGGACUGCAACUGACACUGAGGCUCGAAAGUGUGGGUAUCAAACAGGAUUAGAUACCCCAGUAGUC